UGUUGUGGAGAGAUAUAGUGGACGUGGGAGUCGAUGCCGCCGGCGGUGAGGAUAAGAUGUUCACCGGUGAUGGCGUCAGUGGAAUUGCCUACGAUGAGAUUGGGAUCGACGCCAUUCAUCAUGGACGGGUUGCCGCUCUUGCCAAUACCCACGAUUUUACCGUCCCUGAUUCCCACGUCGGCUUUAAUGACCCCCUGCACGGCAUCGAUGACGGUGACGUUGGUAAUGACGAGAUCAAGCACGCCAGCAUCGCGGUUCAAGCGGGCAUCACCGCCCAUGCCGCCGC
RNAcentral lists this small RNA (286 nucleotides) under uncultured Bilophila sp. Its description in RNAcentral is "5' ureB small RNA". It matches the Rfam family "5' ureB small RNA". Lineage: Bacteria; Pseudomonadati; Thermodesulfobacteriota; Desulfovibrionia; Desulfovibrionales; Desulfovibrionaceae. The record is from RNAcentral.